UAGGGAAUCUUCGGCAAUGGACGAAAGUCUGACCGAGCAACGCCGCGUGAGUGAAGAAGGUUUUCGGAUCGUAAAACUCUGUUGUUAGAGAAGAACAAGGACGUUAGUAACUGAACGUCCCCUGACGGUAUCUAACCAGAAAGCCACGGCUAACUACGUGCCAGCCGCCGCGGUAAUACGUAGGUGGCAAGCGUUGUCCGGAUUUAUUGGGCGUAAAGCGAGCGCAGGCGGUUUCUUAAGUCUGAUGUGAAAGCCCCCGGCUCAACCGGGGAGGGUCAUUGGAAACUGGGAGACUUGACUGCAGAAGAGGAGAGUGGAAUUCCAUGUGUAGCGGUGAAAUGCGUAGAUAUAUGGAGGAACACCAGUGGCGAAGGCGGCUCUCUGGUCUGUAACUGACGCUGAGGCUCGAAAGCGUGGGGAGCAAACAGG
This 429-nucleotide ribosomal RNA is filed under the name Gemmatimonadota bacterium. Its description in RNAcentral is "Gemmatimonadetes bacterium partial 16S ribosomal RNA". It matches the Rfam family "Bacterial small subunit ribosomal RNA", at positions 355 to 776 of the family's 1533-position model. The record is from RNAcentral. Lineage: Bacteria; Pseudomonadati; Gemmatimonadota.